Molecule: transfer RNA, 72 nt
Filed under: Halobacteriovorax sp.
Lineage: Bacteria; Pseudomonadati; Bdellovibrionota; Bacteriovoracia; Bacteriovoracales; Halobacteriovoraceae
Description: tRNA-Met
Rfam family: tRNA
About the family: Transfer RNA (tRNA) molecules are approximately 80 nucleotides in length. Their secondary structure includes four short double-helical elements and three loops (D, anti-codon, and T loops).
Source: RNAcentral
GGCAAAGUAGUUCAGUGGUAGAACAGUAGAAUCAUAAUCUACGUGUCGGGGGUUCGAUUCCCUCUUUUGCUA